This 525-nucleotide ribosomal RNA is filed under the name Triticum aestivum (bread wheat). RNAcentral's name for it is "partial small subunit ribosomal RNA". The record is from RNAcentral. Lineage: Eukaryota; Viridiplantae; Streptophyta; Magnoliopsida; Poales; Poaceae.
CCGACGCUCGACAUAGCUAGGGGGCUAUGGAAAGCGUCCAUCCCCUUGAAGAUCAAAGUUUUCCUAUGGCAACUUUUUCGCGAUCGCCUCCCUUCUUCUAACAACAUUGCCAUUAGACAUGGCCCUUCGGAUGGCUCUUGCGCGCUCUGUGGCCAGCAUGAAGAUGCCAACCACAUCUUUUUCAAGUGCCAUCUGGCCCGCUUUGCCUGGAGUGCCGUCCGUACGGCUUUCGAUCAGACUUGGAAUCCCAAUUCAGCUGCGGACCUUCGUAGGAUCCUUCUAGCGCAGCGGGGUAGUUUCGGACGUGUGCUGUGGCGCUGCGUAGGGGCGCUGUGCUGGUCUCUUUGGACCAUCCGCAAUAAGAUGACAAUCGAACACAAGUUCCCUAACCAUCCUGCUGACAUUAUUUUCAAAUGCCAUGUGUUCCUUCAGACAUGGACUCCGUUGGGGAAACGACGUGAUGCAGAUCGGACGCUGGAGGCCAUGGAGCGGAUCCGCAUGAUCCAGGUGGAAGCCCGUGCCUAA